This 1594-nucleotide long non-coding RNA is filed under the name Salmo salar (Atlantic salmon). RNAcentral's name for it is "lncRNA (ENSSSAG00000099486.1)". The record is from RNAcentral. Lineage: Eukaryota; Metazoa; Chordata; Actinopteri; Salmoniformes; Salmonidae.
CUUUGUGUAAUGAAGAAGUAAGGCCGUUCAGAACGAGGUUCAAGGGAAGUGUACUUUUUGAUAGAGGCGCGACCUGGAAGCACGCUCCACUUUGUUUUCCUCCGGUAUUGAACGCAGUUCAUCCCGUCUUAAAUUUGAUCGAUUAUUUACAUAAAAAAAAUACCUAAAGUUGUAUUAGGAAAGUUGUUUGCUGAAAAUUGUCAGAGUACAGGUAACUUAUGAGAGAUUUUGUAGUCAUGUUGCGCAAGUUGGAACUGGUGUUUUUCUGGAGCAAACGCGCCAAAUAAAUGGACAUUUUGGAUAUAUAACGACGGGAUGAAUCGAACAAAAGGACCAUUUGUGAUGUUUAUGGGACAUAUCGGAGUGCCAACAGAAGAAGCUCGUCAAAGGAGGACCUGAGCCCUAGGAUAAUGCAAAGGACUACCUGGACUGAUGACUCCUGGCUGUCCCCAUUGCCAGUCCACUUGUUCAUGCUGCGGAUCCAGUUUCUGCUGAUCUGCCUGCGGCUAUGAAACCCUGACCUGUUCACCGGAUGUGCUACCUUGUCAUGCUGCAGUCUCUCUCGGCUCUGAAUAGCCAACUGACAUUUACUCCUGAGGUGUUGAUCUGUUGCACCCGCUAUAACCACUGAUUAUUAUUUGACCCUGCUGGUCAUCUAUGAACAUCUUCCAGAACGAUAUGGCCAUGUACUUUAAUCUAAACCCAGCACACACAGAAGAGGACUGGCCAGCCACCCCUCAAAGCCUGGUUACUCUAGGUUUCUUCCUAGGUCUUUUUAGGGAGUUUUUCCCUAGCCACCAUGCUUCUACAUCUGCAUUGCUUGAACUCUCAGGUUUUAGGCUCGGUUUCUGUAGAAGCACUUUGACAACUGCUGAUGUAAAAAGAGCUUUACAAAUAUAUUUGAUUGAUUGGGUGUGUAUUUUAAUAAAUCUAUUGAAUAUACACCAUCCCAAAGAAAUCCUUUAUGGAUUUGUUUAGGCAUGUCUUAAGAAACAUUUUAAAACCAUGUAUUUUUAAAAAAAAAAUAGCAUAUGAGUUUAAUUAUGCUACUGGUCUGGGUAGCCUAUAGGCUACAUGGCUGUGCCAUGCAACUUAAAUAGUUAUUUUGUUCAUUAAAACAGACAUUCCCCUGCCCUUAUCACAGUCAGUCAACACACAUAUACAGUAUUUUAUAGUAAGAAUAUAAUGGAAUAUAAAUAAAACAUUUCAGACAACUUGAGAUCCUUAAAAAAAAAAAACUUCUAUUUUGACAGAGCCCAUGCCCUCAUUUCUGAGUUUGUAGGUGCUUGUAUGUUCUUUAGAAACAUUAGAAUCUUUCCGAUCAUGUAAACACAUAAAACCUGGAUGAACCCUACCCUCACUCCGCUUUGUGAGAUAUCAUGCACAUUGAUAGCGUUCCAGCAAGCAUCCUUGCCAACUGAUUUUAUCAUAGUAGUAGCAAAAUGUCAUCUAAAUAGGACUAAUCGCAGCAAAACACACUCACAUAAAUGUCCAACAACAUAUUGUACUCUACAGUAUUGCUUUCUGACUCCAGGAGAAGAGGACUAGCGGAGCGGCUUGUGUAAUGGCACAUGGGCUCGCCUGGAAAAGAGAG